GACGAACGCUGGCGGCGUGCUUAACACAUGCAAGUCGAACGGAAAGGCCUGCAGCUUGCUGCGGGUACUCGAGUGGCGAACGGGUGAGUAACACGUGGGUGAUCUGCCUUGCACUUCGGGAUAAGCUUGGGAAACUGGGUCUAAUACCGGAUAGGACAGCUGUUUAGUGUCAGUUGUGGAAAGUUUUUUUCGGUGCAAGAUGAGCUCGCGGCCUAUCAGCUUGUUGGUGGGGUAAUGGCCUACCAAGGCGUCGACGGGUAGCCGGCCUGAGAGGGUGUACGGCCACAUUGGGACUGAGAUACGGCCCAGACUCCUACGGGAGGCAGCAGUGGGGAAUAUUGCACAAUGGGCGGAAGCCUGAUGCAGCGACGCCGCGUGGGGGAUGACGGCCUUCGGGUUGUAAACUCCUUUCACCAUCGACGAAGGGUUUCUGACGGUAGAUGGAGAAGAAGCACCGGCUAACUACGUGCCAGCAGCCGCGGUAAUACGUAGGGUGCGAGCGUUGUCCGGAAUUACUGGGCGUAAAGAGCUCGUAGGUGGUUUGUCGCGUCGUCUGUGAAAUUCCGGGGCUUAACUCCGGGCGUGCAGGCGAUACGGGCAUAACUUGAGUACUGUAGGGGAGACUGGAAUUCCUGGUGUAGCGGUGAAAUGCGCAGAUAUCAGGAGGAACACCGGUGGCGAAGGCGGGUCUCUGGGCAGUAACUGACGCUGAGGAGCGAAAGCAUGGGGAGCGAACAGGAUUAGAUACCCUGGUAGUCCAUGCCGUAAACGGUGGGCGCUAGGUGUGGGUUUCCUUCCACGGGAUCCGUGCCGUAGCUAACGCAUUAAGCGCCCCGCCUGGGGAGUACGGCCGCAAGGCUAAAACUCAAAGGAAUUGACGGGGGCCCGCACAAGCGGCGGAGCAUGUGGAUUAAUUCGAUGCAACGCGAAGAACCUUACCUGGGCUUGACAUAUACAGGAUCGCGCCAGAGAUGGUGUUUCCCUUGUGGCUUGUAUACAGGUGGUGCAUGGUUGUCGUCAGCUCGUGUCGUGAGAUGUUGGGUUAAGUCCCGCAACGAGCGCAACCCUUGUCUUAUGUUGCCAGCACGUUGUGGUGGGGACUCGUAAGAAACUGCCGGGGUUAACUCGGAGGAAGGUGGGGAUGACGUCAAAUCAUCAUGCCCCUUAUGUCCAGGGCUUCACACAUGCUACAAUGGUCGGUACAGUGGGUUGCCAGUCCGUGAGGGCGAGCUAAUCCCGCAAAGCCGGUCUCAGUUCGGAUCGGGGUCUGCAACUCGACCCCGUGAAGUCGGAGUCGCUAGUAAUCGCAGAUCAGCAACGCUGCGGUGAAUACGUUCCCGGGCCU
RNAcentral lists this ribosomal RNA (1345 nucleotides) under uncultured bacterium. Its description in RNAcentral is "bacterial SSU rRNA". It matches the Rfam family "Bacterial small subunit ribosomal RNA", at positions 28 to 1381 of the family's 1533-position model. The record is from RNAcentral.